Molecule: ribosomal RNA, 381 nt
Filed under: Spiroplasma endosymbiont of Psyllobora vigintiduopunctata
Lineage: Bacteria; Bacillati; Mycoplasmatota; Mollicutes; Entomoplasmatales; Spiroplasmataceae
Description: bacterial SSU rRNA
Rfam family: Bacterial small subunit ribosomal RNA
Source: RNAcentral
UACCGCAUAUGUUAUUUAUUUGCAAUGAUAAAUAAUGAAAGGAGCAUUUGCUUCGCUAAUUGAUGAGGAUGCGGCGCAUUAACUAGUUGGUAAGGUAAUGGCUUACCAAGGUAACGAUKCGUAGCCGAUCUGAGAGGAUGAACGGCCACAUUGGGACUGAGACACGGCCCAAACUUCUACGGAAGGCAGCAGUAGGGAAUUUUUCACAAUGGGCGAAAGCCUGAUGGAGCAAUGCCGCGUGACUGAUGAAGGUCUUCGGAUUGUAAAGGUCUGUUGUAAGGGAAGAAGUGCUAGAAUAGGAAAUGAUUUUAGUAUCGACCAUACCUUACCAGAAAGCCACGGCUAACUAUGUGCCAGCAGCCGCGGUAAUACAUAGGUGGC